UAGGUAUAAAAUUAUUUGUGAAAUUGAAGGUACGAAUACAUAUUAUUUUGCCUCUUAGAUGUGGCAUGGUUUUGGAAAUCCAAAAAAGGAGUAUAAAAUUGUUCGUGAAAUCGGUAUGUUUUUCUUUUCGUCUGUAAAUUGGAGCUGAAGUAAUACUUGCAUUCAGUGAAAGUUCAAGCCUCAAGGCAAGAUUGCAAAGUAGUAUAUCAUUGUUGGUAUUUUCUGCGAAAUUUAAAUGCUGAUAACUGAUUGCUGAGAUCUGUGUUUGAUUCUGUCUUUAAUAUUUUCUCGUGAUGCUGAGGAAGUCAAUGCUAAGUCACUACAACAACAACUCAGUAUUAUCCUACAUAGCAGGGUCUGGGGAGUGUAAUAUGUACGCAGACCUUACCUUUACCUUGAGGUAGAGAGGCUGUUUCCAAAUAGACCCCCAGCAUCCUUCCCUCCAAGAACUUCCCACCUUGCUUUUGGGGAGACUCGAACUCACAACCUCUCGGUUGGAAGUGGGGAUUGCUUACCAUAAGAACAACCCCUCUUGUCUCAAGUUAAUGCUAGGUCACUGUUAGGUGAUAAUACUGUGUACUAAUUUCAUUAUAGGCUGUAGC
Molecule: long non-coding RNA, 602 nt
Filed under: Nicotiana benthamiana
Lineage: Eukaryota; Viridiplantae; Streptophyta; Magnoliopsida; Solanales; Solanaceae
Description: long non-coding RNA (NBEN_LNC035182)
Source: RNAcentral